Molecule: long non-coding RNA, 2113 nt
Organism: Anas platyrhynchos (mallard)
Lineage: Eukaryota; Metazoa; Chordata; Aves; Anseriformes; Anatidae
Source: RefSeq, a predicted model, not a curated record
UCACAGGCUGCAGUAAUUACAUGUUGAUUUCAUAGUUGUUUUCACCUGCAUGUACCAUGCCUUCCUUACAAACCAACCCACAGUGCCACAUCAGCAGGUUAAUUCUGCACAACCUAGUCAACCAUUUCCUAUUCAGUACUGAAGUGCUUGUAUCCUUCUGCUGAUGUUCAUGGAUGGCAUUAUCUGCUGCCAAAUUUCAUGUCUUGGAGAAUUCUGACGACGUGCAGUCAGGAGCUUUCACCCCAGGCCCAGCUCUGACAUUGGAGGCACGAGGUGUUAGCGGAGGUUCUUGCAUGACUGCCCCAUGCUUCUCAUCAUGCCUCAAAGCCAAACCUGAGGAGAGAAACACUUACCAAGAAAGUGAGGAGAAGCCUCGUCUUCUUGGAUAAACACAUGUCGAGCACCAGGAGGGAUAUCAAACAUCUUAAGGUACCCUUUGGCAUGUGUAGUAGUCAAUGGAGAAAGAAGAGGAGAAAAUAAAAAGUAAUAGCCAUGGUUAGGAGCGCUCUACAUCAUCCAGCUUCUACUUGCAGAAGAGGGCAUCCAUCAACUGAGAAGCAGUGCCACAGAGAAACUGAUCAAAUAGUUUUGUAACAUGUUUGGCAAGACUUCCUUGUGCUUUUCCUCUUUCAGGGAGAAAAGAGAAACCAGUUACAAAUCUAUUUAUCACUUGAUUAGCUGCACUCCUAUAGGCCAUAAUGAUUAACAAUUCAGGCAAAAAUAUGUUUCCUAUGUUUGUGAGCAUACAAAGGAAAAAAACAAGUCUUCCUGAUUAUUUUUUUUUCCAGAUCACCCAUCAGCCAGACUGUUAGAUUUGAAUUUACUUACUGUACUGUUACAUGUUUAUGUCUUAAGUGUGUCUAUUUACUUCUGAGACAUCAAUGACUCUGAAGAAAGUUGGAUGUACUACAGAGUGUAUUGUUGCUACACUUAAGGAAGGUCUUGUCUAUGUGGAAGUUCAUUAUUGACAACUGUGAAAUGCAAAAUGAAUCAAUUCAAGUAUUACUGCUGAGGUGAAAGGGCUGAACUCAACUCUCUAUAGCUAAGAGUAAAAAACAGUUCCCAAAGACAAUAAUUCCUAUUUUCAGUUUUAAUUAUUUAUCAGUCCAAACCACAAGUAAUUAGUGUGAUAUUAAGCACAUACUAUGGUAAUUUAGGAAGACUAAAAUCUGUCUUCAGAACCUGUCAACAGGCACUUCUAUUUAAAGUUUUAAAGAAGAGCUACACAUGUAGCUAAGUGAAUGUAUAAUUAAUUGGAUGUAAGGAUGUGAAACUCUUGAGUUCAUUGCAUUUUCAUAUUCCUCUAUUUUCCCUAUAACACCUGCAUAUUUAAUUAUGAUAAAUCUUCUUGGAUCCAUUUUUAAAGAGCUGAAUAAGUUUUUCCUCUGAUUUGUACUCCACAAUCCAUUUUCCUGUUACCAAAGCAGUGUAGAUGUGACUAGACUUGUAGUAUUUGUGCAUUGCAAACAGAAGAUUUAGCAUUUAAGUAACUGUUUCAUCUGAAGGAUUCUAAGACUAACCAAUAAAUGUGUAGUUAGCCAUGCGUCUGACAUAGUACAGCUGCUUGGAUAAUCAAAGCAAAGAAAAUGAAGAACUAUGAGUGUGUAAAAUCAUGGUCUUGGCUGAUGAGUGAAUGCAAAAGCAGCAUUUGCUGACCUUUUUAUUGACCAUUUUUUGAGCAUAUGAAACAAAACUUUUGCCUGAUUUUGUGUUAUCUAUCAACAUCUAGAUGAAGAUGAGAACUAUAGCAAGAACUCUCGAGUUGCCAUGGAUGUCGCUCUUUCUGCAAGCACAUGAAACUUACCCAGAGUAUUUUUAGACUCCUUUGUUUCAGAAAGGGAAAUAUUGCGAGCUCCUUUGGGCAAUGUAAAUGCUCCUCUUGUCUUCCCUUAAAUAGAACGUCUGUAAUUAGUGUUAUGGGAGCCAAGUCCUGUUAUUUCAUUGACUACAUUGUCAGCCAGAUGGUCUUAAAAAAUACAAAGUAGAACUUACGUUCUGUGUUCAAAGGCAUUUAAAGCAGUUUUAGACACAUCUAGCAAAUUUUAAUAGUCAAUGAAAAUUAGACCAGUGAAAAUUCAGGUAGGUGAUUUUAAGUUGGAUACUUGCAGAUUUC